Molecule: ribosomal RNA, 71 nt
Filed under: uncultured bacterium
Lineage: Bacteria
Description: partial 16S ribosomal RNA
Source: RNAcentral
AGCGGCGUCGNGAGAGGUGACCGGCCACAUUGGGACUGAGACACGGCCCAGACUCCUACGGGAGGCAGCAG